UUGUCUCGUUUUAUUACGUAGGCAUCUUGUCGAGCUUUUCAAGUCCAAGGUCAAGAUGAGAUACGAUGGAGGCGAACGGGAGGGCCAACAAGAAUCAAGCAUUCAUACAGCUGAGAGGGAAGGAUUUCAAGUGUACUUUCCAACAAAUCAAACGGCACAUGAUUCGGAGCUUGCUAGAGAAAGAUAUCACGAAUUAAAGUUGAAUCCGAUUCGGAUCCGAGCUGCCAGGAGACCCGAAUUUGUUUUAAUCACCCAAGCCGCAUCCGGAGUCCAAAUCAAGCAAACAAGUACUUGUUGCAAAGGUAAUUACAAGACCUUUCCAACGGAUCUGGCCCCAUCAAGAGAUUCGACUCGUGCUGACCAUGACGGACAAAACAAGCUGACGGAUCUGUUUUUCUGUUUCCUAAAGAGUUGUAGUUUGUUAGGAAAGUUAAAGAUAGAAUUGAAUUUCGGCCUCCUUACUCAAGGUGGACGAAAAUAUCUCUCCCUCCUCCUUUAUAUACCCCAUGAGCCCCCCUAAGGAGCUUGGGUUUUGUUUAGAUGAAAUCUGUUGAUGAUUACUACCAUGAGUUCCAAGUUAUAAGAUUGCGGUCUGGUUUAGAUGAAAUCGAACAAAGAAAAAUGGAUAGAUUUUAUUGUGCGCUUAACUUUGAUAUUUCUUACAUAAUUGAAUACGGAAAAUACGACUCUCUAUUGUGUUUGCUUAAUCUUGCUCGUGAAGCGGAGAGGAAAUUGGAGAGAAGGUGUACAAGAAAGGUGUUGAGCCUACAAGGUAAUGAUAAAGAUGAUUGUGUUGCUGAACAAAAUAUGACAUGUGAUGAAAUAAAUGAGAUACCCGUUGAAUUUUCUGCAUCAUGUGAAAUUGUUGAUUUACAUGCUGAUUUGAGUGCACCUACUGCUGAAAUUAAUUCUUCUAAUGAUUUGAGUGCACAUAUUAAUUUUGAUAUUGAUGAGAAUGAAUCAUGUGAGGAAAUAACUAAUGUUUUGAGAGAAACAUGUGAUGUAGAUAAAUUUGGCUUAGGUUGUGUCGAGUUAAUUACACAUGGAGUGAUUGAGAACUAUCCACCUAUUAAUUCUUUGUGUUAUAUUGCACUUGAUAGUCCCAUGUAUUUGUCGCAUGCAAUGGAUAAACUGUGUGAGUUAACAAUUUCGAAAUCUUUUGCUGUUCAUGGAUACACAAUUCAUUUCAUUAGACAACAUGAUGUGAACAAUAACAUUUUGGUGCAUGAGAUUUGCAUUACUUGUGAUAAUUUUCCUCUCUUGGGAGAAAAGAAAUUUUUGCACAUGCUUAAUCAUUUUGAUAGGACCUCCAAUAUAGGUGUUGAUUAUUUUCCAAAUAGUUAUUUACAUGCUUGUUUGAAUAUUAGUGCUUUGACUUGCUCUAAAUUUCAGCAUAUUGUAGUAACUAAUUUGGAUACUAUUCAUUAUUAUUCUCCAAUGUUGGGAUGGUGUAAUGGUGAGCGGUGCAAACCAAAUACAAGAAAUCGUUUCGCUUAUAAAUGCAAACAAUAUUGUCAAUCUUCUUGCUGGAAUGUUAUUUAUCAUGAUUGUUUUACUAAUUAUCUCAUCAGACUUUGUUAUAAAAGAUUAAUUGUGCAAGAAAGGAGAUGUAUAAAGAUGGAUGACAUAUACAUAUACCAUGCACACACUUUGUCUAUUUUGUCAGUCUCUUUACAGCACAAACGACGCCGAGGACGGCUUUCCUUUCAAGAAAGGGAGGAUGAUAUGGACAUGCUAACCAUGGAUACGACCUUUGGUACCCUCAAUUCUAUAAUAUUUGACAAGAUUUAUAAUCAGGUGAAUUCAAGUAGUAAUUGUUUUCAUUGUCAUAUUUAUGAAGAGGCGGAGCUACUACUAUCUUGUCUCGUUUUAUUACGUAGGCAUCUUGUCGAGCUUUUCAAGUCCAAGGUCAAGAUGAGAUACGAUGGAGGCGAACGGGAGGGCCAACAAGAAUCAAGCAUUCAUACAGCUGAGAGGGAAGGAUUUCAAGUGUACUUUCCAACAAAUCAAACGGCACAUGAUUCGGAGGUUGCUAGAGAAAGAUAUCACGAAUUAAAGUUGAAUCCGAUUCGGAUCCGAGCUGCUAGAAGACCCGAAUUUGUUUUAACCACCCAGGCCGCAUCCGGAGUCCAAAUCAAGCAAACAAGUACUUGUUGGAAAGGUAAUUACAAGACCUUUCCAACGGAUCUGGCCCCAUCAAGAGAUUCGACUCGUG
This 2215-nucleotide long non-coding RNA is filed under the name Brachypodium distachyon (stiff brome). Its description in RNAcentral is "long non-coding RNA (BDIS_LNC005519)". Lineage: Eukaryota; Viridiplantae; Streptophyta; Magnoliopsida; Poales; Poaceae. The record is from RNAcentral.